UGGGGAAUAUUGGACAAUGGGCGAAAGCCUGAUCCAGCCAUGCCGCGUGUGUGAAGAAGGUCUUCGGAUUGUAAAGCACUUUAAGUUGGGAGGAAGGGCAGUAAGCGAAUACCUUGCUGUUUUGACGUUACCGACAGAAUAAGCACCGGCUAACUCUGUGCCAGCAGCCGCGGUAAUACAGAGGGUGCAAGCGUUAAUCGGAAUUACUGGGCGUAAAGCGCGCGUAGGUGGUUCGUUAAGUUGAAUGUGAAAGCCCCGGGCUCAACCUGGGAACUGCAUCCAAAACUGGCGAGCUAGAGUAGGGCAGAGGGUGGUGGAAUUUCCUGUGUAGCGGUGAAAUGCGUAGAUAUAGGAAGGAACACCAGUGGUGAAGGCGACCACCUGGGCUCAUACUGACACUGAGGUGCGAAAGCGUGGGGAGCAAACAGG
Molecule: ribosomal RNA, 429 nt
Filed under: Pseudomonadota bacterium
Lineage: Bacteria; Pseudomonadati; Pseudomonadota
Also listed under: 1 other name
Description: Proteobacteria bacterium partial 16S ribosomal RNA
Rfam family: Bacterial small subunit ribosomal RNA
Source: RNAcentral